UAUUGAUGAUGUGGAUAGUACCUAAGAGGAGCUUUGAAUCUCUCCCAAGCAUGAUAUAAGUUCUUAUCCACCUACUGUUUAAAGCUCACAAUAUUACUGUGCAGUUU
Molecule: non-coding RNA, 107 nt
Organism: Capsicum annuum
Lineage: Eukaryota; Viridiplantae; Streptophyta; Magnoliopsida; Solanales; Solanaceae
Source: Rfam